GACGAACGCUGGCGGCGUGCUUAACACAUGCAAGUCGAACGGAAAGGCCCUGCUUUUGUGGGGUGCUCGAGUGGCGAACGGGUGAGUAACACGUGAGUAACCUGCCCUUGACUUUGGGAUAACUUCAGGAAACUGGGGCUAAUACCGGAUAGGAGCUCCUGCUGCAUGGUGGGGGUUGGACAGUUUCGGCGGUUGGGGAUGGACUCGCGGCUUAUCAGCUUGUUGGUGGGGUAGUGGCUUACCAAGGCUUUGACGGGUAGCCGGCCUGAGAGGGUGACCGGCCACAUUGGUCCUGAGAUACGGCCCAGACUCCUACGGGAGGCAGCAGUGGGGAAUAUUGCACAAUGGUCGGAAGCCUGAUGCAGCAACGCCGCGUGCGGGAUGACGGCCUUCGGGUUGUAAACCGCUUUCGCCUGUGACGAAGCGUGAGUGACGGUAAUGGGUAAAGAAGCACCGGCUAACUACGUG
This 468-nucleotide ribosomal RNA is filed under the name uncultured bacterium. Its description in RNAcentral is "partial 16S ribosomal RNA". It matches the Rfam family "Bacterial small subunit ribosomal RNA", at positions 28 to 507 of the family's 1533-position model. The record is from RNAcentral.